GGGGAUGUAGCUCAGUUGGUGGAGUGCUUGCUUUGCAUGCACGAGGUCCUUGGUUCAAUCUCCAGCACCACUG
RNAcentral lists this transfer RNA (73 nucleotides) under Ictidomys tridecemlineatus (thirteen-lined ground squirrel). RNAcentral's name for it is "Spermophilus tridecemlineatus (thirteen-lined ground squirrel) tRNA". It matches the Rfam family "tRNA". From Rfam's summary of the family: Transfer RNA (tRNA) molecules are approximately 80 nucleotides in length. Lineage: Eukaryota; Metazoa; Chordata; Mammalia; Rodentia; Sciuridae. The record is from Rfam by way of RNAcentral.